ACAAUAGCUCAGUUGGUUAGAGUGUGGCGCUGAGAACACCAAGGUUGCAGGUUCGAUCCCGGUACAUACAGCUGUG
This is a non-coding RNA of Podarcis lilfordi (Lilford's wall lizard), 76 nucleotides long. NCBI's taxonomy places the organism in Eukaryota, Metazoa, Chordata, Lepidosauria, Squamata, Lacertidae. The record is from the annotation of a GenBank genome assembly.